UCCUCCCCUAUCUGACACUCCCUUAGCUCCUCCUCCUUCCUAGUCCCUAUCUUCAGGGCCCUACAGUGCCAACCUCUCCUACUCUUCUCCCUCUUGUGAAGGGCCAUUCCAGUUGUUACUAUGAUACUGUCAUGCACGCGAAGACCAGGGGAAGCCACCGUGCACCACGGCACUGCAGCUAGGGAGGGAAAACCAGGGAGUUGUCAGAUGAGUGUGGACACCUCAACCAACUGGCCUGCUUUUUACCUGCACGCAGUGCCUUACUCCACUGCCAGGGCAGCUGGGCAUUGGGUUUGGGUGCCACCAAGGCCUCUUGAGUUUUCCAGAAGGCACUACCAUCUCUUGGGGCUCCAGGUCCCCUUUUCACGGACUAAGUCAACCUCACUGGCAGUUGACCACUGGAAGAAGGAGGGGGUUCGGGGCCAAGUGACCUCUGAGGCAGGGAAGACACACCUGGUGCAUUUUACUGGCCCUCUGGCGCCGCCCCCAGCCCGACCCCUGAUCUGCGCACCUGGCGGGCUUGCAUCCCAAGAUCAUUAAGCCCUGGGCCACAUUAGAUAAUUUUAAGAAGGAAGCCUCUGGCCUGUUGACCACAGAGAAAGAGUUUUGGUCAAACUAGAGAUAACAUCUAGGCCUCAGCUGUGUUCCAGCUCCAGAACACCCCACCAAAGGAAUCCUUGCAAAACAAGAUGAAUCAAGGCCAUGGCUGACAUCAAGACCAGAUGCAAUGAUCAAUGACCCCCUGCCCUAGCCUGACCAGUCAGUAGAGACCACAACCCUGACCGUGACCCUAACUUAUCUCCCUUCAUUGUUGAUUAGUGACUUUUCCCCUAUGUAACCAUCCACUAGAAGCCACAGGGGAACCAGUGUUUUAAGUGUUAGCUACCUGUGACUCCGGGCAUAGUACCAUUUCCUUAAUAAAUCUCCACUUUGGCUGCA
Long non-coding RNA from Pipistrellus kuhlii (Kuhl's pipistrelle), 939 nucleotides. RefSeq lists it as uncharacterized. The transcript is spliced from 2 exons. Lineage: Eukaryota; Metazoa; Chordata; Mammalia; Chiroptera; Vespertilionidae. The record is from RefSeq and is a predicted model, not a curated record.